ACCCCGAACACGCCCAAUCUUAUCUGAUCUUAGAAGCUAAGCAGGGUC
RNAcentral lists this ribosomal RNA (48 nucleotides) under Erinaceus europaeus (western European hedgehog). The record is from RNAcentral. Lineage: Eukaryota; Metazoa; Chordata; Mammalia; Eulipotyphla; Erinaceidae.